AGAAGCACAUCAUCUUCUUCGCAGAGACUGAUGAUGAGAUAAAGCAUGAGUCUCACUGGUUCAUUGGCGGUACUUCUCUGCGACGUCGUGGUUGCUCCUACAUUCGUUCACCUCCCGAGACUUAGCACCUCCAUCGACGGCGAGAAUGGUGUCGACAAGUCCAUCUUCCAUUACAGGAGACCGCGGAUUCUCUCGUGCUCGACUUUGGCCGGCCAUGGAAGAGCUUCGCUUGCCGUCUCGCCGCUCGGGCGGCGAAAGAAUGGCGGUUCGAGCGCGAUGCGCGGCUGUGCUGCUAUUUCUUCUGGAGGUAGUGCGAGUUUAUGGCAAGUCUCCGGAAGAGAUUUCGUGGUCGUGAAUCUCUAUCGCUUCGUGUGCGUUGAUAAUCCGGAAGAGGAGGUCGCGAAGCACCUCGCGUUCUUGACGGAUCUUGAUAUACACGGUCGGAUAUAUCUCAAUGAGCAAGGGAUUAAUGCGCAGUAUAGUGGGCCACUUGCAGAUGCUCGCUCAUAUUUCAAAUGGUUGAGAGAAGAUGACAGAUUCUCUGAUAUACUGAUUCAGAUCUCUCCUGCUCUUAGUAGGCAUGCAUUCCCGAAAUUGAAAGUGCAGUUUAAGCCCUUGGUACAGGUUGACGGAGGUAUUGCUCAUCUUCCUUUGCUUGACCCUUCCAUGAGAGCAACACCUUUAGUACCAUCUGAAUGGAAGGAACGAGUUGAAGGGCUAAGUAGAAGCUGUGAUGCAUCCAGUGGGAGUAUGGAAUCAGACUGCAUUAUAUUGGAUCUAAGAAAUGCAGGCUAUGAGUGGGACAUUGGCCAUUUUCGUGGGGCUAGGCGUCCUGAAGUGGACUGUUUUAGGAGCACUUCAUUUGGUCUAUCUGAGACGGAGAUCAACGAUUCAGAUCCCUUAGCAGAUGUUGAUAAAGAGAAAACAGAUGUACUUAUGUACUGUACUGGUGGUAUCCGCUGUGAUGUGUAUUCUACCAUUCUAAGACAAAAGGGCUUUAAGAAUUUGUACACCUUAAGGGGAGGCGUCUCUCACUAUCUUGAGAACGAAGGUCCCGUGGAAUGGGUUGGCAACUUGUUUGUGUUCGACUCGCGUCUCUCUCUACCUCCUUCUGCCUACAACCCUAAAUCUGCAACACAGACAUGUGACCCGCAGCAUGCUUUUAAGAAAGAAAAGUUCGCAAAAUGCUAUCUGUGCAGUUCAGUAGUCCAAGUGUUGAGACAUCGGAAUUGUGCAAAUCUUGAUUGUAACCUGCUUUUUCUAUGCUGUCCAGAAUGUGUAAGCAGUUUCAGAGGAUGUUGCUGUUCGACUUGUAUGCUUGCUCCUCGACUUAGACCUAUUUUACCUGGCCACCAGAGAUACAAAAAAUGGCAUCUUUAUAGAGAUAUGAAGAUACAACCAAGUUGAUACUUUAAGCUUCACGUGAGGUUAUUCUGUGGAAAACCUUUUGAGUGCGGCAUAUUUCUGGUUCUGUCUUGUUUCUGCUCAAAGGGUUGAGUAUUGGAGGAUCAUGAUCUUGCAGCACUUAUGCUACAGUUGGUUGGUACUAGCAAGAUGAUGUAGAUUAUCCAACAACUUUUCCGAGGUUCCAUGUCAUGGACUGUGUAUUGUCCUCAUCGUGGAUGAUUUUACACAUAACAAAUUCACGGUGAAGAACCAUUCGACCUUCUAAGGUCAGUCAUUGGCAUUGACCUUAAUUUCAUUGGACUUGAAUGCCCAAGGAACACAUCUCUUUGAAUCUGCUCUGCCAUUGCUUUGAAAGAUCAGCUUUUGUUACUCUCCUGUGUCAGUUGUGGCAAAUAACGUUAUUGUGUUUGG
RNA transcript from Rhodamnia argentea, 1818 nucleotides. It is a transcript of the gene named rhodanese-like domain-containing protein 8, chloroplastic, with no coding region annotated. Lineage: Eukaryota; Viridiplantae; Streptophyta; Magnoliopsida; Myrtales; Myrtaceae. The record is from RefSeq and is a predicted model, not a curated record. The transcript is spliced from 9 exons.